AACGAUACUAGCUUGCUAGUAGGCGUCGAGUGGCGGACGGGUGAGUAACGCGUAGGAAUCUGCCUGAUAGUGGGGGAUAGCCCGAAGAAAUUCGGAUUAAUACCGCAUAAUCUAUUCGUAGUAAAGUGGGGGACUUUCGAGCCUCACGCUAUCAGAUGAGCCUGCGUAAGAUUAGCUUGUUGGUAGGGUAAAAGCCUACCAAGGCGACGAUCUUUAGCUGGUCUGAGAGGAUGAUCAGCCACAUCGGGACUGAGACACGGCCCGAACUCCUACGGGAGGCAGCAGUGGGGAAUAUUGGACAAUGGGGGCAACCCUGAUCCAGCAAUACCGCGUGUGUGAAGAAGGCCUGAGGGUUGUAAAGCACUUUCAAUUGUGAAGAAAAGUUAGCGGUUAAUAACCGUUAGCCUUGACGUUAACUUUAGAAGAAGCACCGGCUAACUCCGUGCCAGCAGCCGCGGUAAUACGGAGGGUGCAAGCGUUAAUCGGAAUUACUGGGCGUAAAGCGUGCGUAGGCGGUUUAUUAAGUCAGAUGUGAAAGCCCAGGGCUUAACCUGGGAACUGCAUUUGAAACUGGUCAACUAGAGUAUGGUAGAGGAAAGUGGAAUUUCUGGUGUAGCGGUGAAAUGCGUAGAUAUCAGAAGGAACAUCAAUGGCGAAGGCAGCUUUCUGGACCAAUACUGACGCUGAGGUACGAAAGCGUGGGUAGCAAACAGGAUUAGAUACCCUGGUAGUCCACGCCGUAAACGAUGAUAACUAGCCGUUGGGGGGAUUUACCCUUUAGUGGCGAAGCUAACGCGUUAAGUUAUCCGCCUGGGGAGUACGGCCGCAAGGUUAAACUCAAAGGAAUUGACGGG
This 854-nucleotide ribosomal RNA is filed under the name uncultured Gammaproteobacteria bacterium. RNAcentral's name for it is "bacterial SSU rRNA". It matches the Rfam family "Bacterial small subunit ribosomal RNA", at positions 65 to 917 of the family's 1533-position model. Lineage: Bacteria; Pseudomonadati; Pseudomonadota; Gammaproteobacteria. The record is from RNAcentral.